Molecule: unclassified non-coding RNA, 457 nt
Filed under: Hevea brasiliensis (rubber tree)
Lineage: Eukaryota; Viridiplantae; Streptophyta; Magnoliopsida; Malpighiales; Euphorbiaceae
Source: RNAcentral
GGUGGGUGGGCAAUAGCUUUGCCUAAGAGUUACGAACACACUUUUUCCUUUGACAAUGAUAAGCUUGCCGUUGAGGUUUGAGUUUGUACUUCUUAAUUCUUGAAUUAUGUCUCAGAUUCUCUAUUUUUAAACUUCAUUUAAAGAAGGAGUUCUUCACUUUUUAUAUGAACUUGGAUGGCUAUUCUAAUUUAGAAAAGUGUCUUCUAUGUUUGGCUUUUAGAUUAUUCACUUAGCUUAUUAAAGUUUUUCCUCAUUUUCUUAGUUGAAAAAGGCCAUAGUAUGUUGGUCAAAAUAAUUUUUGAUAUGCUGAUAGAAAGAAAUUUGGAUGUUAGAGGGCUAUCCAAAGAGUCAUUGGAGAUGCUGUCUGAGAUGUUGCUUGAGAACGAGCUAUCAAAAGGAGAUGUAGGACUUGCUUAUCUAUUAUUCCAUUAAUAACAGUAAUGUUUCCUCUAAAAAA